RNAcentral lists this ribosomal RNA (406 nucleotides) under uncultured bacterium. RNAcentral describes it as "bacterial SSU rRNA". It matches the Rfam family "Bacterial small subunit ribosomal RNA", at positions 354 to 777 of the family's 1533-position model. The record is from RNAcentral.
GUGGGGAAUAUUGCACAAUGGGGGAAACCCUGAUGCAGCAACGCCGCGUGAGUGAAGAAGUAUUUCGGUAUGUAAAGCUCUAUCAGCAGGACAGAAAAUGACGGUACCUGACUAAGAAGCCCCGGCUAACUACGUGCCAGCAGCCGCGGUAAUACGUAGGGGGCAAGCGUUAUCCGGAUUUACUGGGUGUAAAGGGAGCGUAGACGGUUUUGCAAGUCUGAAGUGAAAGCCCGGGGCUUAACCCCGGGACUGCUUUGGAAACUGUAGGACUAGAGUGCAGGAGAGGUAAGUGGAAUUCCUAGUGUAGCGGUGAAAUGCGUAGAUAUUAGGAGGAACACCAGUGGCGAAGGCGGCUUACUGGACUGUAACUGACGUUGAGGCUCGAAAGCGUGGGGAGCAAACAGGA